This 293-nucleotide ribosomal RNA is filed under the name uncultured bacterium. Its description in RNAcentral is "partial 16S ribosomal RNA". It matches the Rfam family "Archaeal small subunit ribosomal RNA", at positions 455 to 747 of the family's 1478-position model. The record is from RNAcentral.
GUGCCAGCCGCCGCGGUAAUACCGGCAGCCCGAGUGAUGGCCGAUCUUAUUGGGCCUAAAGCGUCCGUAGCUGGCCGACCAAGUCUCCCGGGAAAUCCACCCGCCCAACGGGUGGGCGUCCGGUAGAAACUGGCCGGCUUGGAACCGGAAGGCUCAGAGAGUACGUCCGGGGUAGGAGUGAAAUCCCGUAAUCCCGGACGGACUACCGAUGGCGAAAGCAUCUCGAGAAAACGGAUCCGACAGUGAGGGACGAAAGCUAGGGUCUCGAACCGGAUUAGAAACCCGUGUAGUCC